This 242-nucleotide ribosomal RNA is filed under the name uncultured bacterium. RNAcentral describes it as "partial 16S ribosomal RNA". It matches the Rfam family "Bacterial small subunit ribosomal RNA", at positions 64 to 334 of the family's 1533-position model. The record is from RNAcentral.
GAACGCAUCCUUCGGGGUGAGUGGCAGACGGGUGAGUAACACGUGGGAACGUACCCCUUUGUUCGGAAUAACCCUGGGAAACUAGGGCUAAUACCGGAUACGGCCGUGAGGCGAAAGGUUUACUGCAGAGGGAUCGGCCCGCGUCCGAUUAGCUAGUUGGUGAGGUAACGGCUCACCAAGGCGACGAUCGGUAGCUGGUCUGAGAGGAUGGCCAGCCACAUUGGGACUGAGACACGGCCCAA